This is a long non-coding RNA of Brassica rapa (field mustard), 1728 nucleotides long. RefSeq lists it as uncharacterized. NCBI's taxonomy places the organism in Eukaryota, Viridiplantae, Streptophyta, Magnoliopsida, Brassicales, Brassicaceae. The record is from RefSeq and is a predicted model, not a curated record.
UCUAUACAUAAUUAUAUUUUUUAACAUAACUUUAAAAUCUCGGACUUGAUUCUUCAUAUUUUAGUUAAUUUUGCUACAUAUAAUAGAGAUAUUUACUUCAAACUAAAUAUAUAAAAAAAAAUCAAAUUUGAAAUUUAGUUAUAAUAUAAUUUAAUAUACAAAAAUUCACAUAGAAAUAAAAAUGAUAAAUGUAACAAAUUUAAAUAUAUUAUCCGCGCGUAGCACGGACAAAGGAUCUAGUAACUAUAAUUGGAAAAAAAUAUAGAUGAUAUUCAGACAUAUGUUUCAUCGAAGGAAAAUAAAAUGUAGAUAAAAAAUAAAAAUUUAACAAAUAAUACUUUAUUUCAGAAAACAUCAUUAAACUAAAAUAAUUAUAGUCAAAAUAUAACGGGACAUAUCUUAUGUAAAAUUUAAUUUGAAAUUGACAAAUUGUUUGUUUGUAAAAAAGAGUAUUAAAGGAAAGGACUCUCUGCCACAAAUUGAGGGAACUUACCCACUCGGUUUUCUAAUUUGCAUGUUUUCUCAGUUUUAUUUAUGAAAAUUAUAAUGGCUGUAAUUUUAUUCGUCCAUAUGAUUGGUCAUUAUUAAAAGAUGAGUGACUUUGUAAUGGCAUAAAUGGUGCCACUGAGUUAGUGGAUGCCUUUUACUUUGAAACAUAUACUAGGUUUGAAGCAUGUUUUUAAAUAUCGUAACUAAAAAUUCUAUAGUUUAGAAUUGUAUACUACUUGUAGUAAUAUUUUUCCAAAACCACAUUGAUAAGAAGGAAUGUUUUUAUGUUUAGUAAUGGGCACGGUGCAUGUUUAGUUUCUGUAAGAAUAUUUACCCCCAAAACCUGUAGAUCCAUAGUUAGUUUCAUCUUUAAUUUUUUUAGUUACAAACGUUUAUGAUGUGAUCAUUUAUAAUUAUGAUUAUUUAUUAUUUUAUCAAUUUUCAGCAAAAGAGAAAACAAAUAACGAACCAAAAGAUCAUCAGCAUAACUGAAAAAUAGGAAAAAAACUUAAGUUUAACAAAAUUGAAUAGUAUAUAGAAAGGAUCAUAUCACAUAAUUUGAUUUCUAACAUUUAAAACAUAUAGAUUUCAAGCCAAAUCUCGUAAACAUUUAAAAAAACAAUCAAGAUCAAUUUAUUUAAAUCCCUUAAGAAUCAUUUAAACAUUUUCUUUCGUUUAUAUUCUCUUCAAAAUCCGAUAGUGAUCUUUGCUGGUUGGUGGUGGUGGAUUAGUUAUUCUUUAACUAUAGAUUAAAGUAUGGAUUUUGUAGGCUAAAAUAUUACUAUAGAAGAUUAUAUUAAUUCACUAUUAGUUGUCACAAAAUACUUUGAAGCUGUUGAAUAUAUUCCUCAGUUCAAAGAAGGGAAAUGAAAGAAGAAGCUCUCUUUGUCAUAUAUAAAAACAUGUUUGAGUGUUUUAUUCUUCGACAGAUUCAUUUCAUUUUUCUUUUGACUGUUUCCUCGUCUAUCUUCCUUAAUUGAGUUUUCAUUGUAGAUGUUUAUUAGUUGUAUAUAUGGAUUAUAUAUCUACUCUAGUUAGUACGAGUUAAUACAGCCUUGUAGUUGCUGUAAUACUCAAAUUGUGAAACUAUGAGUGUGAAUGUAUUUUUAAGACCAUCUCCAACGUAUUUUGCUAUUUUUACUUCUAAAAUAGAGGAAUUAUAUAAUAUAUGUGAGAUAUGCUCUAAUGUAUUCCUCUAAAAUAGCAAUUUCUAAAUGUAGAGUUAAAAAUAGAGGAAUG